RNAcentral lists this ribosomal RNA (591 nucleotides) under Colletotrichum boninense. Its description in RNAcentral is "eukaryotic LSU rRNA". The stretch from base 247 to 400 matches the Rfam family "5.8S ribosomal RNA". The record is from RNAcentral. Lineage: Eukaryota; Fungi; Ascomycota; Sordariomycetes; Glomerellales; Glomerellaceae.
AGGAAGUAAAAGUCGUAACAAGGUCUCCGUUGGUGAACCAGCGGAGGGAUCAUUACUGAGUUACCGCUCUAUAACCCUUUGUGAACAUACCUACAACUGUUGCUUCGGCGGGUAGGCCGUCCCCUGAAAAGGACGCCUCCCGGCCCGGACCGGACCCCCCGCGGGACCGGACCCGGCGCCCGCCGGAGGAUAACCAAACUCUAUUGUAACGACGUUUCUUCUGAGUGGCAUAAGCAAAAUAAUCAAAACUUUUAACAACGGAUCUCUUGGUUCUGGCAUCGAUGAAGAACGCAGCGAAAUGCGAUAAGUAAUGUGAAUUGCAGAAUUCAGUGAAUCAUCGAAUCUUUGAACGCACAUUGCGCCCGCCAGCAUUCUGGCGGGCAUGCCUGUUCGAGCGUCAUUUCAACCCUCAAGCUCUGCUUGGUGUUGGGGCUCUACGGUCGACGUAGGCCCUCAAAGGUAGUGGCGGACCCUCCCGGAGCCUCCUUUGCGUAGUAACAUUUCGUCUCGCACUGGGAUCCGGAGGGACUCUUGCCGUAAAACCCCCCAAUUUUCCAAAGGUUGACCUCGGAUCAGGUAGGAAUACCCGCU